This 258-nucleotide ribosomal RNA is filed under the name uncultured bacterium. RNAcentral describes it as "partial 16S ribosomal RNA". It matches the Rfam family "Bacterial small subunit ribosomal RNA", at positions 524 to 776 of the family's 1533-position model. The record is from RNAcentral.
GACGAACCGUGCGAACGUUGUUCGGAAUCACUGGGCUAAAGGGCGCGUAGGCGGCCCGCCGCGUCCGGGGUGAAAUCCUCCCGCCGUCAACGGGAGAACGGCCUCGGAUACGGGCGGGCUGGAGGGGGGUAGGGGCAGGCGGAACGUGUGGGGUGGAGCGGUGGAAAUGCGUUGAGAUCCACAGGAACUCGGUGGCGAAGGCGGCCUGCUGGACCCCAAUCGUGACCGUGAGGCGCGAAAGCCAGGGGAGCGAACGGG